RNAcentral lists this long non-coding RNA (225 nucleotides) under Brassica napus (rape). RNAcentral describes it as "long non-coding RNA (BNAP_LNC012845)". Lineage: Eukaryota; Viridiplantae; Streptophyta; Magnoliopsida; Brassicales; Brassicaceae. The record is from RNAcentral.
UAUGAGAAUUUUUUUUUUAACAUAACAUUUUAUGAAAACUUUGAUGUUUUAUACCGGUGAAAAUGACAGAUACAAUUUUAUAAUAAAUUAUCCCGAAAAGCACGAAAAACCCGAAAAAUUCAAAAAAAUUCGAUAGUCCUAUUAAGACUAGACCGGCCUUCAAAAUAUAAAUCCAAAAUGUUUACGUCCGAGUCCUAAAUAUUUAUGGAACGUUCCAAGCUCAAA